Molecule: long non-coding RNA, 133 nt
Organism: Athene cunicularia (burrowing owl)
Lineage: Eukaryota; Metazoa; Chordata; Aves; Strigiformes; Strigidae
Exons: 3
Source: RefSeq, a predicted model, not a curated record
CUGGGCAACCUGUGCCAGUGUCUCACCACCCUCACAGGAAAGAAUUUCUUCCUUACAUCUAAUCUAAAUCUACCCUCUUUCAGAUUAAAACCAUUACCCCUCUAUCAUUACACUCCCUGAUAAAGAGUCCCUC